Hyla sarda is the source of this 197-nucleotide small nuclear RNA. RefSeq annotates it as U2 spliceosomal RNA. The record is from RefSeq and is a predicted model, not a curated record. The transcript has a single exon. NCBI's taxonomy places the organism in Eukaryota, Metazoa, Chordata, Amphibia, Anura, Hylidae.
AGAGCUCCUCGGCCUUUUGGCUAAGAUCAAGUGUAGUAUCUGUUCUUAUCAGUUUAAUGCUGGUGGGGAUGGGUGCUGCAUGGUAGGGAGCAGGUGUUCCGGAGCUGGUUCUGAGGAAUCAGCUCGACGGCUGCCCCGAUGUGACCUGCUUCCUCCGGGUCUCGCCAUGAGGUAGAGGGGUGUAGAGCCGAAGUACU